CCGGGCCGCGCCGGCGCUGCCGGGGCUACGGCCGCCGCCCUUUCCUCGUCCCCGUUCUGACGGGAAGACGCUGGGGCGGUGCGGAGGCGGUGUAAAGCCGGACGGGCGCCGACUGACGCCAGAGCGGGUGGUCCCGGCGAGGGCGGGCGGCAGGAGCAGUGGCUGCUCUACUGCAGCUAUGGCUAUGUGGAACUGGCCGGGAGUAGCAAAGGGUUGGGAAGUCCCGACCAAAUGAGGAGGCUGGAAGAAGAACCCUGCCCCGCGUCCCCCGGCAGAACUGCCCUCAUCGGGCCCCUCCGGAGCCUGUUCAGAGGCUUUGCCCACGGCUCCGACCUUUGGAACAAGUGGGUGUCGCCACUCUGGCAGGCUCAGCGGAACCCGGGUUGCCAGUCCCGUCAGCUCAGGGCCGGGCUGGAGCAGGGACUGCUGCCCGCCAGCCGUGGUAGGAAUGAGACCAAAAUGGCAUCUGAAGGAAGUAAAUAGCUAUAGAAAUCCCAAAUCUCCUGCUCAGUGUGGAACAUGGAUGCUAUGGAUGCUGCUCCAAAGACCCCUGAAGUCUGUUGAAAUACAGUGUACUCUGACAGGCUGAGAUGAGAUACUAUAAUGGAAGCUCAGCUCCAUGUCACUGACCACCAAGAUCCAACUUCUGCCUCAAAAUUAAUCCUUGGGUUUGCUCUAAGCCCAGUUCCUGUACUAGCCACUAUCUCUCUACACAGACUUCACCAAAUGCAUCUGCCUAACUCACCUUCUUCAUGGUGGUCCCAAGUAGUGAUGUUGGAAGAAUUCAGAUUGAGAUUACAAGUGGAAGUGACAAACCUGUCCUCAUCUUGCAGAGUCUUUCACGGAUGUGCUGGGAUCAUAUUAGAAGCAGAAGAGGAAGAGGGAUGAAGGCAUCUGAUACGGGAAGCUUUUGUUAAAGAACCAAAAAUUUGAGGAACAGUGGACCUAUUGAGUGGAAAUGGACUUCUGGUGGUCCUUGCCUGGCUUCUGCAGAGAACUGAAACCACUAGGUAUAAUUUCUGUCUUCAGAAACUGAAGUGAACAAAUCAUCUGAAGUAGCAGCAAACACUCACAUCACUAGGGCUGUCUGUAGACACAAAUCUAGUGGUGAAGCAUGAAUCCUUGUACAGAUCACGAGGAGAAGGGGAGGUCUUGGUUCCAUGAGUCUGGAUACCAGCUACCAGCAUGACCAUAGAGAAUUUUUUCCUUAUUGUAGGUUCACUAUUUGUUCAGGCUGUGCAUGGAAGUGUAAAAUAAAGAUUUAGUUUAUUUGACCUAACAAUUUUUUUUUAACCUUAUAAGAUCUCCAUAAGAUUGACAUUAUCCCGCAGUAGUGUCACAGUUGGCAGUCAUUUAAUGCCUCAUCUUGUGAGGUCAGGAUUCCACGCCCAACUGCAUUUAGCAGGUCAGUACAGUAAUUUUAAGUGUCUUCCUUUGAGAUUUGUGCCAUCUUCAAUUAUACCUUUCCACCCUACUAUUUGUGUAAUUUUCUUCUGUCUGAAGACUCUUUACUGUUGUUCUCUAUUGCACAGCAUGACAAAUUACCCAUUAAACCAAAUCUUUUCAGCUCAUAAAUGCAUGGUAACAGAGAGUCAUGGCAUUAUCACAUGUUGCGUAUUUUAUUUCUUCACAGGUCAUUCAAGGGUGUCACUUUAUUUUCAUGCUUCUUUUUGUCAUCACAUGAAGAUUAACAAUUCUAGUGUUCUAACUUUAGGAAAAGUUAGACAUACAUAAUAAACUCAGAGCAGUACAUAUACAUUUCUGCCUCACUCAUGACUUCCCUUGCAUGGCAAAAUCAUAUCAAUAAUUUUGAGUCCCUGAAGAAGCCAAAAUAAGGCUUUCAUCCUUAUUAUACAGCUGAAUAACCUGGGUGUGGGCAAGAGCAUUAUUUGCAGCCUCAGGCCAUCAACCAAAUCAACUGUGAUUCACCGCUCACUUUGACCGUGUGCACUAGGUUCUCUUGGGAGUUAUGAAACUCUCUGGGUCUGAUGCAUGCUGUGUCCACAAUCUGUCCUCUCCUCCCCUCUUUCUCUUUAAUUCAAGAUAAACACUGGUAAUUGUAAUAUUUGUGCUGAGAUACCUCCCAGGCAUUGCAAAGAUCUAUUAGAAAAAUGAACUGCUGCAGCUAAGAGUGUUGGCAGCUAAUAUAUAUAUAUAUAUAUAUAAAAGAGUUCUUUAGAAAUUGGGAUUAAGAAGACACAGGGAAAUUUUGCUGUUGACAGCAUCAUCCAGAGCCCUCAUUAACAUUAAAGAGGGACAGUUUGACAUGGGUAGGGUAGUUCAUGAGCUCAUAGAUUCUGCAGCAUUUGUGCUCAGCCUGAAUAGAACUGCAGGAGCAAACAUGGAACUGUCCUCAUAACCUGUCUCAGAUGUGAGAUAGGAUCCCUGUUCUUCUUUUCAAGGUAUUUUAUGGGUCACUAGGAAGAAUGAUUGAUUUAAAGAGAGAAAACCCCUGCUUCUGUAAGACAAACCAGAGGAAUUAGCACUUUGGGUAAUCAGAAAGACCACUUAGGAUGAAAUUUGACUGGAAAUAACUUCAUAUGCUUUCAUGUAAGUAUUAUUGUAGUUAAUAAAAGGCUGCUAUUUUUAUUUAAUACCAUUAAUUUUAUUAUUUAUUUAAGUAAUGCUUGCUCCUAGAAAAGCAUGAAAGAAGGAUACAAUAAGCUGAAAGUGUCAUAGUGCCAAGAAUCCCAAGAUCCAUUUGCAGACUCGUGUUGAGGGUUCAGUAACUUCAAGAGUGGCAGACACUGAGAGACUGGCCUUGAGAGGUGAUGGAAGAGCCAGAAUUCCCAAUAGCUAAUAUAGGUCCAGAUUUGGCUCCACCUCACCCUCUGCAGCAUUUUACUAUGCACUUUGCAGCAUUUACCUAUUCUUUGCCUAUUCUGAGUCUUACAUGUUGGGAUUUUUAAAAUUCCAGGUAUCAGUUACCACCAUGAAUAACGUAAUUAUGUUUAGUUUUUUCAAGCAAAUCUUUGCAAAUUCAAUGGGAAGAUUAGUAUAGAAAUAAAAAGACAUGCAGCAUUUAGAAUAAGCCUGACUUGUGAACCAAAGGUAAAAUAUUUUACUUUGUUUUUGCAACUUUUCAUGAAAUAUCUUGAAAUUUAUGUAAGAGGGAGUGGAAAUCUCUGGAUGUUGCAGUUAAUUUAUCUUCUAAUGUCUUUUAAUCCAUUUGCUUUAGAGUGUCAGGCGGAAAAUACAGCUCUAGUAUGUUUCUCUAUGCAUCUCUUUGACAUAAAUUUGUUGCUGCAGCUGAUAAUUGUUGCUGCAAUUGUAAGAAUUAUAUAAGCUUUGUCACAGAAAUCACAUUGUAAAAGGUUCCAAAAAACUUGACAAUGUUGACAGUUGUUUUCAGCAAAUGGCUGCUUUACCGUAGCACUGUCAAUGUUGAUGUCCUUGUGUACAUUUAAAAGAGCAAUGUGAUUAAGGCAAGCUUGUCCAUGCUAGAUAUGAGCCAAGUUUUCAAUCUCCUCAUGGCACUGAAAGAUUGCUCAGCUGUUGCAGACAAGCAAGAAUAGCUGGCAGAUUUCUGCCAUUAAAAUAAAAAAAUCCUUGUCUUUGGGCAUGCAUCUAUAGGAAUGUGUAACAUCUGCUACUGACCUUAAGUUCUAGAUAAGAACAGCUUGUAUUUGUAACUCAAAUUCAUAUACCUUGGUUUAGACGAUGCACUUCCAAGGAUAUUACCGAAGUAUUUUUUAAGAAGAUAUUUGUCUAGACAGGAGUCUAAAAAAUGAUGUACUUCAAUUCAUGAUGUGCUUCUGUUAAUUGUUACAGUAGUGAAAGGCCAUUCUUCCCCUAGUGUCACUUUCACUGCAACUUAUGUCCACCUUAUGUUGCAUUGAAAUAAUCUAUAUUGAAUUCUAUUCUGAGAAUAUUUCUUAUUUAUACAUGAAAAUCGAUGCUGGUGUUCUAUCUAGAACACCAGUCAUCUUUUCCGUAUAUUUUUUCACUCUUAAUUAGAUGAAAAGAGUACAAAACUCAUUUCUUUAACCUUUGUCAAGGGAAAUGGGCCUGAUUCAACACAGUCAUGUAUUCCAUCCUAUUGACCCUGAAUUCCUUAUGUAAGACCUUAAAGCCAUGGGAUGUAGAAGACUUGUUGCUGUGCCUGGGUGUAGAAAUAGUGGGAAGAAAUCCACUUCAACAGCAUGAUCUCAUAAGAAACCUGGUGUGAUUUUCUCAUACAAAUUAAUGUAGACUUUCUUAGUCCAAACAUACUCAUAUUCCACUUUAUAUCUAUUAAAAACCCUUAAAAAAAAGGAUUCUGGAUUUCUGACAAUACCCUGAGAGAGAGAAAGGCAUUGAUUUCAGGUUGACUCAGGGUGACCAGUUCAAGUUUUCCCAGACACUCAGAGUGAUGCUCUGCACAUCAUGGACUAUGUAGAUAAGUCUAUGACUCAGGGAGGUAAUAUGGAAAAAAGUUGUGAAGCUUUCUAUAAAUACUUUUUUUUCUUGACAAGCUUGUAGAGUGAAAGUGUGUGGUACUGAAGGGCAGCACUGGAUAGUGUAGCAUUUGAUAGUGUCUAAUGGCAAAACUAUCUUUCCUCUUCUUGCAACCCAGCAACACAUUCACUGUUUUUCAACAAAAUUCUGGGGAAAAAAAUGCCUCGGACAAAAGUCUUCUUCAAAAAAUAAGCUCAACUCAAGCCCAGAAAAUAGUCUGCUCUCUAAACAGAAUGAGACUGAACUCUGAUACGGACAGAAGUUGAUGACAAGGUAUUUGAAGAGACAUAAUACAUCCAACGAAGGGAGGAAGGAGAUAGUUUAAAGAUGCACUCCUCAUCUUAAUUCUAAUAUUUCCCCGUGUUUUAAGACUUGAUGCUUUAAUGUAAACAUUUUUGUUAAAAAAAUCUUGUUAUGGUAAAUCAUGGGCAGCAUCACCUGUACCUCCUGUAAUUAUCAUGUUUCAAAUGAAAUAACACCAAGUGUAACAAGAAGAGCUUUCCUCUUAAGAGAAACAAAUAUCAGUUUAGCAUUUUGCAUUGUUAGGUUAAAGGGAUGUGGUGCAGGAAACGCCACAUUGCAGGAAGAUGUAUUAAUUUUUACACAGCCUGUGAAAUUUAGGGUGACAAUACAAUUUUCUUCUCCUACUGUUUUGGAUAAAUAUUUGUAACUCAAUAGUCUGAGCUCAGAGAGCAGCAGUUUAGCUCAUAUUUCAUUUUCAGGCUCUGUGGCUGAAAACCUAAAUCUCAUAAAUGAAGGGCUGUAAUUAUCAGCUAGUAAAUCUCUCUCUCUCAGCAGUUAUUAUGUAAAGUCAAUUAGAGUGAAGAAUUUUCAGUCUGGACUUAUUACUAAAGGAAAUCUUUCAUGCAGAAUUGAUGAAAUGGGAGAGCUUCUCCCUGUACCCCAUCUGCUCCCUGCUUUUUGUGUCCCUUCACUACAGCUGCAGUCAUUACCAGGCUGACUCCACUUUGAAAAGCUAAAGCCACAUUCUUCAGAACAGUUGCUUGGUGUUGGUCAGAUUUCUCUGUAGACUUUUUUUUUCCAUUGGAGACAUAGAGGCUGACACAUACUUUCCAAGGACUAAGGACUUUGCAUGUCUUCUGUCUCCAGAACUGUCUCUUGAAUUCCAAAUAUUUCUCAAGUGGCUAGCAAAAGAGUAUCCAGGUAAUUUUCAGCCUAGUGGGACAAGCUUUGAGUUGAAAGCCAGACAGCUGUGAAAAUGGAUUGUAAAGUAAUUAUUUCAUUUUAUGUUAUCUUCUUGUCCUUAAUACAUGUGUGCUUUCAUUGCUACAGUUAGAGCAUUCACAAGAUCUGAAGAGACUAUGAAAUCCCGCUAACUCUAGCAAUCUUUGUUUCUUAGACUGUAAAUGAUAAUCAUGAUUCAUGUAAAAUGAUUCAUGUAAAAAAGCAAUAAUACAACUUGAAAAACAUAAAAGAUGAGCAAUAAACUAAACCAAAAGAGCUUGUUAUCUUUCCCAAAACAACACUUUUUAAUUUCUGACCUAGGUUUAUUUUUUCCCUUCCUUUUAGCAUCCCUUACAUUAUAUACUAAAAACAAAUGCUUUCAAGGGUCAAACUUUACCUUCAAAAUUACUGCCUUUCAUAUCCUUUAUUUUCCUUUCAGGCAUCUAAAAAACAAAAGUCAACAUAACACUGAAUAAUUUGAAAAGUUAACAUAAUUUUUUUAAUGGAAAGUCUAAGUAAAUGUAAUUAAAAUAACAUUUAAACAUGUUUUUUUCCUUCAAUUCUCAACUAAAUAUUUUAAAGAACUGAAGUUUCAGACAAAUAAUUUUUUUUUCUUUCUUUUCCUAACAAGACAAAGAGGAAAAAAAGACCAGCUUCAAGGGACAGGACAUGAACCCAUCAGGGUUCACUGUCCCCUUUCCAGCAAAAUGAAUAAGCUGGCCUCACAACCUUGUUUUGUUCUCUCUCCAAAACUUGCCUAGAUACCACUGGAAAGAUGAGGGCUGAAGAUUGACACACAACAACUGUACGUACAAACAUACAAGUUGAUAUUUAAGGCCCUUAUUCUGUAUGCAGGCCUGUCCAGACACAGCUCCCCUCCAGACCUCUGCUCAACUACAGUCAGUCUGCAUUUUUUUUUCUCUUCAUUUUCAGUAUUAUCAUGGACUUUAAUUUUCUGAAUACUCAAGGCUGACUGGUUAGAAGACAAAACACUGAUAACACUCGAUAAUGAAGAAACUCUGUGCUAAGAAGAAAAGGAAAUAUUUAUUUUCUGGCCAUAGCUGAACUAAAAGACAAAACGUUCAAGAAUUUCUUACAACAACUGAUAAGGGAAAUUUCCCUUUGAUUUUCUGCUUUCUGUACAUUGAAUAAACCAUGUUUCCCAAA
This is a long non-coding RNA of Haemorhous mexicanus (house finch), 6789 nucleotides long. RefSeq lists it as uncharacterized. The transcript has 5 exons. The record is from RefSeq and is a predicted model, not a curated record. Lineage: Eukaryota; Metazoa; Chordata; Aves; Passeriformes; Fringillidae.